UGUCGUGAGAUGUAGGGUUAACGUCCCGCAACGAGCGCUAACCCUUGUCUUUAAUUGCCAUCAUUUGGAGUUGGGCACGUUUAAAGAGACUGCCGGUGUUAAACCGGAGGAAGGUGGGGAUGACGUCAAGUCCUCAUGGCCUUUAUGCCCAGGGCUACACACGUGCUACAAUGGUCGGUACAAAGGGUUGCGAUACCGCGAGGUGGAGCCAAUCCCAUAAAGCCGAUCUCAGUUCGGAUUGGGGUCUGCAACUCGACCCCAUGAAGUCGGAGUCGCUAGUAAUCGCAGAUCAGCAACGCUGCGGUGAAUACGUUCCCGGGCCUU
This 324-nucleotide ribosomal RNA is filed under the name uncultured Desulfuromonadales bacterium. Its description in RNAcentral is "bacterial SSU rRNA". It matches the Rfam family "Bacterial small subunit ribosomal RNA", at positions 1063 to 1382 of the family's 1533-position model. Lineage: Bacteria; Pseudomonadati; Thermodesulfobacteriota; Desulfuromonadia; Desulfuromonadales. The record is from RNAcentral.